GUGGGGAAUCUUAGACAAUGGGGGAAACCCUGAUCUAGCCAUGCCGCGUGAGCGAUGAAGGCCUUAGGGUUGUAAAGCUCUUUCAGCUGGGAAGAUAAUGACGGUACCAGCAGAAGAAGCCCCGGCUAACUCCGUGCCAGCAGCCGCGGUAAUACGGAGGGGGCUAGCGUUGUUCGGAAUUACUGGGCGUAAAGCGCGCGUAGGCGGACCAGAAAGUUGGAGGUGAAAUCCCAGGGCUCAACCUUGGAACUGCCUUCAAAACUCCUGGUCUGGAGUUCGAGAGAGGUGAGUGGAAUUCCGAGUGUAGAGGUGAAAUUCGUAGAUAUUCGGAGGAACACCAGUGGCGAAGGCGGCUCACUGGCUCGAUACUGACGCUGAGGUGCGAAAGCGUGGGGAGCAAACAGGAUUAGAAACCCCUGUAGUCC
This 425-nucleotide ribosomal RNA is filed under the name uncultured bacterium. Its description in RNAcentral is "bacterial SSU rRNA". It matches the Rfam family "Bacterial small subunit ribosomal RNA", at positions 354 to 796 of the family's 1533-position model. The record is from RNAcentral.